GGGCCCGUAGCCUAGCCAGGAUAGGGCGUCGGCCUUCGGAGCCGAGGGUCCGGGGUUCAAAUCCCCGCGGGCCCGCCA
Molecule: transfer RNA, 78 nt
Filed under: Acidilobales archaeon
Lineage: Archaea; Thermoproteati; Thermoproteota; Thermoprotei; Acidilobales
Description: tRNA-Arg
Rfam family: tRNA
About the family: Transfer RNA (tRNA) molecules are approximately 80 nucleotides in length. Their secondary structure includes four short double-helical elements and three loops (D, anti-codon, and T loops).
Source: RNAcentral